GAGAAGUAAUAAACUCCCCCACUUUCAUUUCUCUCUUCUUAAUUCUAAGUUAGUGGUCCAUCUAUAUGGUACUACGCGUGUAUAUAGUACUUCAAACUAAACUAAUUAACUAGCUUGGUAUACUUGAGCACUUGAUACGAAUUCUCAUGUUCGGUCAUGAACCGACAAAAUACAACACGUUAUCAGCACGAAUCACUCUUUUAGAAAUGUCGACUCCAUGUUUACGUUGCUGGUUGUUAUGGGAAAUUCGGUGGAGUGCGACUUCAGCAUAAUCAUUAUCCGGCUAUACAUAUUUGUGUGGAAGCAGAUCACUUGCAUCAAGGGAUAUGUGAAGCUGAUGACAACAUGAAGAUCACGAAUAAAAAUUUCUUCUUCAUAUUUCACACUCAUUUACGAAAAGUAAUUUUAUAUAUGUAUAUGCAUCCUAGUACUAAUUGCGUGGUUCAUGUUUGUUGUUUUGAUCAGGAUGGCAACCAAGCAAAACGGGUCCAAUAGCAAACCUGCUAUCAUGUAUACAUGCAUCAAAAGCGCAUUUGAACUUCCUGUUUCAAUAAUCUCCACAAAAUUUAAAAAUAAUUCCACCAGAAGAUGGAUAUCGUGCGACAUAGUAUGGAUGUAAAAGCGCGCUCCGCUAGCCCGUUGGUCUCAGAAGUGACCCGUUACAAAGUGCUAGCCGGUUUCUAUAGGCGGUCCCUGAAGUGACCAACUAGGCAACUUUGCCAUAAAUAGUUUAUCCAUUUGCGCACUUGUAAAUUAACAUUUCGUUGACCCUGAAGGUGACGAGGUUGGAGAUUUGUUGAUAUUGUAUUAGUACCAUAUUUGUUUUGAUGUUUAUCCUUUGUUUUAAGUUUUGUUUA
Papaver somniferum (opium poppy) is the source of this 857-nucleotide long non-coding RNA. RefSeq lists it as uncharacterized. NCBI's taxonomy places the organism in Eukaryota, Viridiplantae, Streptophyta, Magnoliopsida, Ranunculales, Papaveraceae. The record is from RefSeq and is a predicted model, not a curated record. The transcript is spliced from 2 exons.